UGGGGAAUAUUGCACAAUGGGCGAAAGCCUGAUGCAGCGACGCCGCGUGAGGGAUGACGGCCUUCGGGUUGUAAACCUCUUUCAGCAGGGAAGAAGCGAAAGUGACGGUACCUGCAGAAGAAGCGCCGGCUAACUACGUGCCAGCAGCCGCGGUAAUACGUAGGGCGCAAGCGUUGUCCGGAAUUAUUGGGCGUAAAGAGCUCGUAGGCGGUUAGUCGCGUCUGCUGUGAAAACUCGAGGCUCAACCUCGGGCUUGCAGUGGGUACGGGCUGACUAGAGUGCGGUAGGGGUGACUGGAAUUCCUGGUGUAGCGGUGGAAUGCGCAGAUAUCAGGAGGAACACCGAUGGCGAAGGCAGGUCACGGGGCCGCAACUGACGCUGAGGAGCGAAAGCAUGGGGAGCGAACAGGAUUAGAUAGCCCUGGUAGUCCAUGCCGUAAACGUUGGGCACUAGGUGUGGGGUCCAUUCCACGGAUUCCGUGCCGCAGCAAA
This 491-nucleotide ribosomal RNA is filed under the name uncultured bacterium. RNAcentral's name for it is "partial 16S ribosomal RNA". It matches the Rfam family "Bacterial small subunit ribosomal RNA", at positions 355 to 855 of the family's 1533-position model. The record is from RNAcentral.